Molecule: ribosomal RNA, 501 nt
Filed under: uncultured bacterium
Lineage: Bacteria
Description: partial 16S ribosomal RNA
Rfam family: Bacterial small subunit ribosomal RNA
Source: RNAcentral
AUUGAACGCUGGCGGCAGGCUUAACACAUGCAAGUCGAGCGGGGGAAGGUAGCUUGCUACCGGACCUAGCGGCGGACGGGUGAGUAAUGCUUAGGAAUCUGCCUAUUAGUGGGGGACAACAUCUCGAAAGGGAUGCUAAUACCGCAUACGUCCUACGGGAGAAAGCAGGGGAUCUUCGGACCUUGCGCUAAUAGAUGAGCCUAAGUCGGAUUAGCUAGUUGGUGGGGUAAAGGCCUACCAAGGCGACGAUCUGUAGCGGGUCUGAGAGGAUGGUCCGCCACACUGGGACUGGGGCACGGCCCAGACUCCUACGGGAGGCAGCAGUGGGGAAUAUUGGACAAUGGGGGAAACCCUGAUCCAGCCAUGCCGCGUGUGUGAAGAAGGCCUUAUGGUUGUAAAGCACUUUAAGCGAGGAGGAGGCUACUUUAGUUAAUACCUAGAGAUAGUGGACGUUACUCGCAGAAUAAGCACCGGCUAACUCUGUGCCAGCCGCCGCGGUAA